Molecule: ribosomal RNA, 474 nt
Filed under: uncultured bacterium
Lineage: Bacteria
Description: bacterial SSU rRNA
Rfam family: Bacterial small subunit ribosomal RNA
Source: RNAcentral
UCCAGACUCCUACGGGAGGCAGCAGUGGGGAAUCUUCCGCAAUGGGCGCAAGCCUGACGGAGCAAUGCCGCGUGAACGAAGAAGGUCUUCGGAUUGUAAAGUUCUGUCCUUAUCGAAGAGAGGGUAUAGAGUGAAAAAUGAUAUACUAGGACGGUAGAUGAGGAGGAAGCCCCGGCUAACUACGUGCCAGCAGCCGCGGUAAUACGUAGGGGGCGAGCGUUGUCCGGAAUCACUGGGCGUAAAGGGAGCGCAGGCGGCGCGGCAAGUCAGAUGUGAAAGCCCGGGGCUCAACCCCGGGACUGCAUUUGAAACUGCCGUGCUGGAGUGUCGGAGAGGCAAGUGGAAUUCCUAGUGUAGCGGUGAAAUGCGUAGAUAUUAGGAGGAACACCAGUGGCGAAGGCGGCUUGCUGGACGAUAACUGACGCUGAGGCUCGAAAGCGUGGGGAGCAAACAGGAUUAGAUACCCUUGUAAUA